GUGGGGAAUAUUGGACAAUGGGCGCAAGCCUGAUCCAGCAAUGCCGCGUGGGUGAAGAAGGUCUUCGGAUCGUAAAGCCCUUUCGACAGGGACGAUGAUGACGGUACCUGUAGAAGAAGCCCCGGCUAACUUCGUGCCAGCAGCCGCGGUAAUACGAAGGGGGCUAGCGUUACUUGGAAUUACUGGGCGUAAAGGGCGCGUAGGCGGCUCUGUUAGUCAGGCGUGAAAUUCCUGGGCUUAACCUGGGGACUGCGCUUGAUACUGCAGGGCUUGAGGCCGAGAGAGGGUGGUGGAAUUCCCAGUGUAGAGGUGAAAUUCGUAGAUAUUGGGAAGAACACCGGUGGCGAAGGCGACCACCUGGCUCGGUUCUGACGCUGAGGCGCGACAGCGUGGGGAGCAAACAGGAUUAGAAACCCCUGUAGUCC
This 425-nucleotide ribosomal RNA is filed under the name uncultured bacterium. RNAcentral describes it as "partial 16S ribosomal RNA". It matches the Rfam family "Bacterial small subunit ribosomal RNA", at positions 354 to 796 of the family's 1533-position model. The record is from RNAcentral.